This is a long non-coding RNA of Melitaea cinxia (Glanville fritillary), 117 nucleotides long. RefSeq lists it as uncharacterized. NCBI's taxonomy places the organism in Eukaryota, Metazoa, Arthropoda, Insecta, Lepidoptera, Nymphalidae. The record is from RefSeq and is a predicted model, not a curated record. The transcript is spliced from 3 exons.
UGUUUUAUAUUUUACUAACAUCAUUUUACGUGGGGAAAAUCCAUCAUGGAUACUCUCCUGCGCGGGGACGCCAGAGGGAUAUGUCAGACUCCUACUGACUGAAAAACCACCACGUGU